Molecule: long non-coding RNA, 2609 nt
Organism: Mercenaria mercenaria
Lineage: Eukaryota; Metazoa; Mollusca; Bivalvia; Venerida; Veneridae
Exons: 4
Source: RefSeq, a predicted model, not a curated record
GACUGGGCGACCGACAAUACCUGUAUCUACAGCAGGGCCUACAGUUAAAACUAGUCCGGUAGGUCACGAUCACGGACCUCCACCUGUCACAGACAAACAAGAUCACGUGCCACAUGCAACACAUGCUAAUAAAGUAGAAGGGAAAAAAUCACUGAAAGGAUACAACAAUGUUGGAAGAAAUCUGCCUCAUACAUGGAGAGAUGAACAGAUAAAAGAAUUAAGGGAGUUUAGUAACAGAUUUAGGCUUGACCAGCCCUAACGCAGCAUUUAUGAUGAUGUUGACACGUGAAGAAAAUAACGAACAUUUGUCUGCUGUAACACGUUACCUUGUGUUGUUAUAAAGCGGAAUUAUUCUGUUAUGACAUAUCUGUCUUUAAUUCUUCUUUUCAUACCUUUUUUGUGCAAAAAUGGCGUUAGGAAACACUUUUUGCAUCAGAGUUUUAAUUCAGAAUCUGUUUUAUGCAACCUUUACGCUACUCUUGCCUAGUUAAGAAUGCUAAAUUUGAAAAAAGGUUGCAAAAAUUGGUCUUUGUUUAUUUUUCAUGCCUCAAGUUGUUUACAAAGUACAGAGUUUAUAAUUGUUGAAAAUUAUUUCAAAGAUUAGAGAGAAACAAAGUCUUAAAAUAUUGGGGUGAACAGUAGUACGUUACUUUUAGCUAGAAGUCUUCGUGUCUUGUCAUAAUGAAGAAAUGCAAAUUACACAUGAACAUUUUGUUAAAUUAAAAUUAAGUGAUUGUCGCCUCAAUGUGAAACUGUUUUGAACUGUACAUUAAUAUUCUUACUCAGCCAUUUGUUUUUCUAUGAAACAAAGAAGGCAAAGUGUACUGUUGUUAUGUGGUAAAAAUAAGUAAAUGUUCAAGCUCUUUCAAGAAUUGACUUGUCCAAGAAAAGCUUGCUGAAAAAUAAGUUUAUGUUGUGGAUGUUGCAAGAAUCAAACUGAUACAUCCCCAAUGGUGAUUUUAUUGCUGAAUAACGUAAUUGUUGUUUAGAUGCUUGUCAUUAUAACAUAAUUCGUUUGCAUCUAAACUCAGGAUUUUAUUCAGCGAUAAAAAACACUGUUGGUAUAUUAUUUGUUCGAAUUAAAGAGGCAGGUAGAAUAGUUUCACAUUAUAGUUCUUUCUCUAAUGAAAUUAACUGGUAUGUUUAUGUUAGAUUUUCACCUCGUAUCUUUGUAAAAUGGCAGUGACAAGUUGAAAAAGUGUUCAAAAAUUGUUAUGUAUAUUAUGGGGAAGUUUUCCACGCAUUUACUAAAGAAAAAACACAAACGUUUUCAAUUCAUUGUAGUAAAAAAUAAGAGUUGUCUACAUUUGCUGAUGCGUCGAUAUAACAAACCACUGUCAAAACGGUUAUUUAAAUAAGAGAAAACAUUUUGCAUUCGUGUUUUACCCAUUUAAAUGUAUUUGAAUUUUUGCACGAAAUUUCUUGUCCUCUUAUGUUGCAUCAUAAAUUCUGAUUUAGUGUUCCUUCCUCCCAUAAAUAUUCGUAGCAUUUUUCAAUUUUUAGACAUGUUUUUGUUCUUGUCACUGUAAGUAUAUGUACCUGCAAAAUGUGAUAAUGGUAUGAAUGUGAUCAUUUUGAACAUUAAAUAACCUGGUCCUGGUGUUCUAAAAAUAAGUUUGAAGUCCAGUCUGGGAAUGCAGCCUUGCCAUUGGUCAAUUUUGAAAUUGAUCUCGGAAACAACCAGUCAUUUUCUGGAGUUUCGAGACUGGUCCUCAAAACUUGGUUUUUACAACCUUGGGCCAAAUUUGUUAAGUUAUGCUUAACAACUUCUGAUGUUACUUAAACCAUUAUUCUUUGGAAAUAUUUUUGUUAAUUCUGUGCAAUUUAUUAUAAAUUUUGCAGUUUUUUGUGACCACUGAAAAUUUUCUUUCAUAUUUUAUUCAAUUUAACGGCGUAAUGAGAAACUUCAGUACCAUAGGGAGGAAUUGAUUCCUAGCCAUUGUAUCUAAUCAAAUUCAUUUUAACUUUGUAUAAAGAUAAGUACACUUUCAGCCAAAACGGUUUUUACAUAAAACAUACAUGCAGAUAACCAUUUGUUCUAUUUGGCAGUCGCAUCAUAUAUGAUUGUUCCAUUAAAACCCAUCAAUUCUAUCUUUGUGUCUUGUACAUCAAGAUUUUCUGACAUCUCUUAACAUAAUUUUAUUCUCAUGUCCUUUGUUUAAAUGUUGAACAAAAUGGGAUGAAUGUCUUGUUUAUUUGCAUUGCUACCUUACUGUUUCAAAUUGUGUAAUUUGGAGGGAGAAUAGUUAGAGAAGAAGUUGUUGCAAUAUAGAGAGCGGUGGGGAGUUUUUAUACUGAAAGUUGUCAAAAAGCAUUUUUUUUUGACAUCAUGUUGAGCAUAUUCAGCCAACUUUGACAUUAUUAUAAAUGUGUCUUAUAUUUAGAAAUCAUGUGACCUGUGUUGGUUCACAUGAAGUCAUGUGACAGUUGAAUUUUCUGUCAUGUGAUGCUUUGUUUAGCCAAUCAUGUGUCAUAUUCAAAUGAGGAAACUACCAUAUAGUUGAACGUUGAGAGAGAGAUGAUUUUAACUUAAAAACCAAGAGAUAGCAUAACUCCUGCAUUUUGAAAUGGAGCAAAUGUCUUUAAAAAGAAAAAAAUAAAUGAUAAAA